Molecule: long non-coding RNA, 2051 nt
Organism: Macrobrachium nipponense
Lineage: Eukaryota; Metazoa; Arthropoda; Malacostraca; Decapoda; Palaemonidae
Exons: 5
Source: RefSeq, a predicted model, not a curated record
CUCACGCGAUAUUACAUAUUUAAUUACAAUGAUUUGGCACACUUCAGUCAGGCAAAACGAACAAGAUUACAAGAGUACGAGAAAAGCGACCGUUCGGUGUCUUGAACGAGUCAAGGAUUGAAACGCACGCCAGUCGGCGGAGAGUCACGUCAGUGACGAUAGAAGGUGAGCGGCAGCGACUCGAACGACCAACGGAUUGGAUAACGUUAGAAAAGAGCUGUUUCAAAGGCAUAUCCCGUCUCCUAUUACUACGACAUCGUACAUAAGCGCUGCUUAUUAUUAGAAUGAGAAAACUGACCAAGGUAUUGUGGGAAGUACUAGUAGUUGGGGCUCUGACACUCACCAAGGGAGCCCUAUCUGGGAAUUCGCACCUGGUGAAAAAUGCCCCCACCUAUUACAUCAACGGUCCAGCGAAUAACUUCAGAGACGCUGUGAGAUCUGAGGGCUUCAUCAUAUCGAAAGAGGAUGCCCACUGGGAGAGCCCAAUGACGCCAGAGUGCGAAUGCCGAGCACUCUGCUGGACCUAUAUUCCGUGCCUAGGACACUCUACUCAUAAAGAGGGCGGGAAAGUGACAUGCCGAGUAACAACCAAACCUCCAUAUAACCUAACUCUGGUAGCCAACUCCGGUGGGAUCUACUCGUUCUGGAGGAGCUCCAUCAACUACUACAUAUACAGGGUUUACGGGAACUUGCUUUACCUGGUUCCGAAAGCAACCAUGAAUUACGGUGACAGCAAAGCAUACUGUGAAAGGAUACCUGGACAUCGGCUUGGGAUGUUUAAGGACAUCAGUCUCCUCAGGAUCCUAUCAAGAAUUCAUACGACAACAGGGGUGGAGCUGUGGAUUGACCUACACAAUUCCCCAGAUGGGCCAGCUUGGGGUGACGGAGUUCUCCUAGACAAGAACCUCGCGUUGACCGUUUUCCGUACCCUUGUCUACAACACGAGCGAUACCGAUCCUGUACGAGUUAAAACGUGGAAUCAAUUAGACGACAAUCCGGCAAAUAAUACCAGGUGUUUCGUCUGUCAGGUAAAUCUCGGUGGGCUACACUGGUAAGGGCACCUUCCACCUAGUGACAUGAGAUGCAACAAUUUAGCCCUCACACCUUGAAAAUUAAAUGAUGACAUCACUUAGGCUAAUGAGCAUCAGCGUGCAAACUUGACAAAACAGGUCUGAUUAAAUAGGCCUACUUAAUCACAUACUCUUGUCUGUCGCAGACGUCCAAUGUAUUCAUAAUCAUGUCUAUCAUAAAUUAGAAAAAAAUCUCACAAUGCUCUAAAAAUGAAUAUGACAGCAAUGUAAUCAAAAGCAAAGUAUUACUUUCUGAUCGCAUGGGUUGUUUACAAAUGUAUUAUGACUAUGAAUCAAUUGUCGUUUAAUGUCAUGUUCAUAUAUCCUUAACAUUUUUAACUUGGCUGAUUAUCAUAUAAAGAAACAGGGUUUAUAAAUACUGACAAGACACCUGUGUACUUCUGCUGUGUUUAAUUUUGCUUAGCUUAUGUUUUUCAACUAAAAUACCCAAAGAAACACCUGCUAUCACACGUUGCCCCUACGUCUGGUGAACUACCACGUGAGCAAUCAGCUGAUGCUCCAAUACCAUCCUCCCUGGCUUCUCCGCUCAAAACUCCCCAAUAGCUGGUAAUCAUUAACAAAAAUAACAUCUCUUCAUGAGAAAUGAACGGACAAAAUCAGGUCCUACGUUCAGAUUCUUGACUGGUAAGUCUUAUUGCAUAAAAAAUAAAAUAAAAAAUAAUGGCCAUUUUCUCAAGACUAAUCUUUUCUAUGUUCAAAAUCUACAUACCUCCUCACUGAUCAAUUUCCAAAUUCCAAAUGGUAUGAUUUCUUGAUUAUUACUCCAUGAUUACAAUUUUUCAUUUUGAUGAAUAUUUAUACGAAAGUUGUUGUGUUGUUUAAAUUUUGUAACUUUUGUCUUUAUCCUAUUUUGAAAGUCUCAAAGAAUAUGUAUUUUAUGCACAUUUCAAGCCUUUCACUGAAUUUUGGAAGUGAAAAAUGAGACAUAAAAUUAAGGAAGCCUAAAUAUUUUGGAAAUUU